Molecule: ribosomal RNA, 468 nt
Filed under: uncultured bacterium
Lineage: Bacteria
Description: partial 16S ribosomal RNA
Rfam family: Bacterial small subunit ribosomal RNA
Source: RNAcentral
GACGAACGCUGGCGGCGUGCUUAACACAUGCAAGUCGAACGGAAAGGCCCUGCGUUUGUGGGGUGCUCGAGUGGCGAACGGGUGAGUAAAACGUGAGUAACCUGCCCCUGAAAUUGGGAUAACUUCAGGGAAAUGGGGAUAAUACCGGAUAGGAGCUACUGCUGCAUGGUGGGGGAUGGAAAGUUUCGGCGGUUGGGGCUGGACUCGCGGCUUAUCAGCUUGUUGGUGGGGUAGUGGCUUACCAAGGCUUUGACGGGUAGCCGGCCUGAGAGGGUGACCGGCCACAUUGGGACUGAGAGACGGCCCAGACUCCUACGGGACGCAGCAGUGGGGAAUAUUGCACAAUGGGCGGACGCCUGAUGCAGCAACGCCGCGUGCGGGAUGACGGCCUUCGGGUUGUAAACCGCUUUCGCCGGUGCCGAAGCGUGAGUGACGGUAAUGGGUAAAGAAGCACCGGCUAACUACGUG